RNAcentral lists this ribosomal RNA (420 nucleotides) under bacterium. RNAcentral describes it as "partial 16S ribosomal RNA". It matches the Rfam family "Bacterial small subunit ribosomal RNA", at positions 355 to 776 of the family's 1533-position model. The record is from RNAcentral.
UGGGGGAUAUUGCACAAUGGGCGAAAGCCUGAUGCAGCGACGCCGCGUGGGGGAUGAAGGCUUUCGGGUUGUAAACCUCUUUCGCUAUCGAACAAGGCCCGCUUAGGGUGGGUUGAGGGUAGGUGGAGAAGAAGCGCCGGCUAACUACGUGCCAGCAGCCGCGGUAAUACGUAGGGCGCGAGCGUUGUCCGGAAUUAUUGGGCGUAAAGGGCUUGUAGGCGGCUUGUUGCGCCUGCUGUGAAAACGCGGGGCUUAACUUCGCGCGUGCAGUGGGUACGGGCAGGCUUGAGUGUGGUAGGGGUGACUGGAAUUCCAGGUGUAGCGGUGGAAUGCGCAGAUAUCUGGAGGAACACCGAUGGCGAAGGCAGGUCACUGGGCCAUUACUGACGCUGAGGAGCGAAAGCAUGGGUGGCGAACAGG